AUUGAACGCUGGCGGCAGGCUUAACACAUGCAAGUCGAGCGGAGAUGAGGUGCUUGCACCUUAUCUUAGCGGCGGACGGGUGAGUAAUGCUUAGGAAUCUGCCUAUUAGUGGGGGACAACAUUCCGAAAGGAAUGCUAAUACCGCAUACGUCCUACGGGAGAAAGCAGGGGAUCUUCGGACCUUGCGCUAAUAGAUGAGCCUAAGUCGGAUAGCUAGUUGGUGGGGUAAGGCCUACCAAGGCGACGAUCUGUAGCGGGUCUGAGAGGAUGAUCCGCCACACUGGGACUGAGACACGGCCCAGACUCCUACGGGAGGCAGCAGUGGGGAAUAUUAGACAAUGGGGGAAACCCUGAUCCAGCCAUGCCGCGUGUGUGAAGAAGGCCUUAUGGUUGUAAAGCACUUUAAGCGAGGAGGAGGCUACUGAGACUAAUACUCUUGGAUAGUGGACGUUACUCGCAGAAUAAGCACCGGCUAACUCUGUGCCAGCCGCCGCCGUAA
RNAcentral lists this ribosomal RNA (499 nucleotides) under uncultured bacterium. Its description in RNAcentral is "partial 16S ribosomal RNA". It matches the Rfam family "Bacterial small subunit ribosomal RNA", at positions 30 to 523 of the family's 1533-position model. The record is from RNAcentral.